This 505-nucleotide unclassified non-coding RNA is filed under the name uncultured Glomus. RNAcentral describes it as "SSU rRNA". It matches the Rfam family "Eukaryotic small subunit ribosomal RNA", at positions 569 to 1074 of the family's 1831-position model. Lineage: Eukaryota; Fungi; Glomeromycota; Glomeromycetes; Glomerales; Glomeraceae. The record is from RNAcentral.
AGCAGCCGCGGUAAUUCCAGCUCCAAUAGCGUAUAUUAAAGUUGUUGCAGUUAAAAAGCUCGUAGUUGAAUUUCGGAAUCAGUUCGUCGGUCGUGCCUUUGGUAUGUACUGGUGUUACUGGUUCCUCCCUUCUGACGAACCGUCAUGUCAUUAAUUUGGUGUGGCGGGAAAUCAGGACUGUUACUUUGAAAAAAUUAGAAUGUUUAAAGCAGGCUCGCGCUUGAAUACAUUAGCAUGGAAUAAUGAAAUAGGACGUUCGAUCCUAUUUUGUUGGUUUCUAGGAUUGACAUAAUGAUUAAUAGGGAUAGUUGGGGGCAUUAGUAUUCAAUUGUCAGAGGUGAGAUUCUUGGAUUUAUUGAAGACUAACUGCUGCGAAAGCAUUUGCCAAGGAUGUUUUCAUUAAUCAAGAACGAAAGUUAGGGGAUCGAAGACGAUCAGAUACCGUCGUAGUCUUAAACCAUAAACUAUAGCCGACUAGGGAUCGGAUGAUGUUAAUUUUUAAUGA